This 591-nucleotide ribosomal RNA is filed under the name Bacillus thuringiensis. Its description in RNAcentral is "bacterial SSU rRNA". It matches the Rfam family "Bacterial small subunit ribosomal RNA", at positions 173 to 747 of the family's 1533-position model. Lineage: Bacteria; Bacillati; Bacillota; Bacilli; Caryophanales; Bacillaceae. The record is from RNAcentral.
UAUUUUGAACUGCAUGGUUCGAAAUUGAAAGGCGGCUUCGGCUGUCACUUAUGGAUGGACCCGCGUCGCAUUAGCUAGUUGGUGAGGUAACGGCUCACCAAGGCAACGAUGCGUAGCCGACCUGAGAGGGUGAUCGGCCACACUGGGACUGAGACACGGCCCAGACUCCUACGGGAGGCAGCAGUAGGGAAUCUUCCGCAAUGGACGAAAGUCUGACGGAGCAACGCCGCGUGAGUGAUGAAGGCUUUCGGGUCGUAAAACUCUGUUGUUAGGGAAGAACAAGUGCUAGUUGAAUAAGCUGGCACCUUGACGGUACCUAACCAGAAAGCCACGGCUAACUACGUGCCAGCAGCCGCGGUAAUACGUAGGUGGCAAGCGUUAUCCGGAAUUAUUGGGCGUAAAGCGCGCGCAGGUGGUUUCUUAAGUCUGAUGUGAAAGCCCCACGGGCUCAACCCGUGUGGAGGGUCAUUUGGAAACUGGGAGACUUGAGUGCAGAAGAGGAAAGUGGAAUUCCAUGUGUAGCGGUGAAAUGCGUAGAGAUAUGGAGGAACACCAGUGGCGAAGGCGACUUUCUGGUCUGUAACUGACACU